Molecule: ribosomal RNA, 301 nt
Filed under: uncultured bacterium
Lineage: Bacteria
Description: partial 16S ribosomal RNA
Rfam family: Bacterial small subunit ribosomal RNA
Source: RNAcentral
CAGCCGCCGCGGUAAUACGGAGGGAGCUAGCGUUAUUCGGAAUUACUGGGCGUAAAGCGCACGUAGGCGGCUUUGUAAGUUAGAGGUGAAAGCCUGGAGCUCAACUCCAGAAUUGCCUUUAAGACUGCAUCGCUUGAAUCCAGGAGAGGUGAGUGGAAUUCCGAGUGUAGAGGUGAAAUUCGUAGAUAUUCGGAAGAACACCAGUGGCGAAGGCGGCUCACUGGACUGGUAUUGACGCUGAGGUGCGAAAGCGUGGGGAGCAAACAGGAUUAGAUACCCCGGUAGUCCCUGUCUCUUAUAC